GUCAGCUUUUUCAGAAAUUUCUUUUCAACAGUAGAAUUAAUUGUUCAGCUCAUACUCCCAGGUUAUUCCGAAAAUUAUAAACAAUAAUACAUUUUGGCCUAAAAGUUGGGCAGAUCUCUCUCAGAAAUAUAAUUCUCCAUUUGAUAAUUCAACUCUAAAUAUCUUUCUGGAACGACCAAUUAUAUACUUCAGUGGCAAAAAAUAAUGAAUAUCGACAAUGGGCCAAAACUGUUUUCCAAUUACAAGCCACAGCCAAACGGCCAGAAAAACAAUCUAAUACAAAUUGCAAUGGACACAAUAAAUUAUCGUAGCUUGCCAAAUAUACACUCUCAUCAAGGUACGAAAGAUAGUCAAUUCAAUUUUAAAGAAAUUCCAGCAUAUUUGGAAUUGAAAAACUACGGAGAGCGAGUGAAGAAUUUCUUUUUGAACGAAAUGAACGGUGAAUCGAAAAAUAAAAAUGGAAUUUUGGGGAUCAGUUAUUCUCAAGCCAAGCGAAUCACAAAUUCAAACCCACGUCAUAAGUGUGAUAUGUGAAAGAAGAAUUGCUCUCUCUUCCUAAUUGAGAUAAAUAAACAUAUGUUUUUAAAUAUUU
Cimex lectularius (bed bug) is the source of this 592-nucleotide RNA transcript. RefSeq lists it as uncharacterized. The record is from RefSeq and is a predicted model, not a curated record. Lineage: Eukaryota; Metazoa; Arthropoda; Insecta; Hemiptera; Cimicidae. The transcript has 4 exons.